GGCGGCGUGGACGCGCAGUUUGCAGGUAGAGCCGGCAGGACUCGGCCACCACAGCUGGCAGACGCUGCUCUGCACUCCGGCAUCCCUACAGGCUUCCUGUGCCUCCGGGGCACCCACCCUAUGCUCCCUGCAUCUCUAGACCUGCUAACCCGAGGAGGAGAGCAGAUUUGCCCUGGGCUCUUUCCUGCGCUUGGCAGAGGGGUUCCGGCGGGAAUCGGGGCUCCUGCUAGCUUUGCGCAGCCGAGGGAGGCUAGAAGCUGCGUUCGGGAUGGUGGCUCUCCCAGAGCGAGGAGGCGGGAUACCCUCGCCGAGGUCCGCGGAGCGCCCUACACCCGCGCAAAUCGUGCGCUUGUCCCGUGCGGGCCCGGGAAGGCGGCCUUUGGGAAACCCAGCCGGUGAGCUCCCCACGAUCUCCGCGGGUCUUGAGCGCAGAGGCGGACUGCCAGCUCUUGGACCCUGGAUGGAAAGUGGUAAUGAGGUGGGGCUGCUCCGGACCCCUAAUGUGGAUUACUUGGUGCGUAUCAGCCGGGCUAGGAAGACUCGCGAUCUCUCCACCCGUGGAUUGAUUCAUUCUACCUAGCAGUCGGGUCGCCUACCUGGAGGUGAAAUCAGGUUGGUGGCCAACCUGGGCAGGUGCUUUGAACCAAGAAAGGACAAGAGAGAAGGCGAGCCUGAGCACAAAAGGCCUAGAAAGGAGGACUGGCACAGGGCCGCCCUUCCUCCCCACACCUCCCACCAGGAAGCUUCGUGGAGCCACGGUGUACCGCCAGGUCCCCCUUGAACGACGUGACUCAGAUGUGACCAUCUCUUAAGAGGCAAGAGCUCUGGAUUGGGUGGAGAAUUCUUAUUUUGGAGGAUAAAGAAGGUUCUGGAUUUGAGAAGACAUAUAAGGAGAAAGCCAAGACCCUUACAUUGAGGCAUAGUCUCUGUGAUGACCUGCGUGGGCUGGGAGAUGCAUUGCUGGGAGUGACGUGUGGUUGAAGAAGAUGCUGGUUUCCCAGACCUUGUUUUUCCUUCCUAUGGAAAACGUUGCCACUGCCGCUGGCUCCUACGACUGCCCGCCCCUGCCCCCAGGAACCCCCGGGGCAUUCACCACACCCUUUUCUGCCCCCGACCUCCACGUCAGCUGUGUAGCAAUUCUUGUUUGCUCCGUUGUCUUCUAGCAGAUGCAAAAUGAGUAGUGAACUCCACUGAGGUCAAACAGGAUCUUGCUUUUGGUUCCUGCUCCUUCCAAAGUGCGAGUGUCGCUCUGUGCCCAGGCUGGGAAUAGUAUUCCUCCUCAUCUGUUUGGGAUCUGGCUGCACAGUUUCCAGAGGGACAGUGAUCAGUGCAGAGACGUUCUUCAGGCUCUUGGGGACGUUGGUGGGGACUUCGGCAUUGGAACCAGAUGGAGAAGGCUGGCUCCAUGUUCAGCUGCCUUGGUUGGGAUCACACGUGGGAGUACAACUGCAGGAGCAGCAGACAACCCCUGCUGUUGACUCCAGCUGUGUUGACACAGAGGCAGGGUCUGCUGUGAAGACCCUCUUCUCUCAGGAGGCAGCUGGGGGCCACAGCAGAACUUGGGGCUUCAUUCCAGACCAUCCAGCUACCAGGCCAGUGGCGUUUAUUGCGGAAACUUCCUCCAGCAUGUGCUGAUGACUCACACACCUGACAAUGGAUUGGGCCCCACGAAACUCGAGUCCUGUUUGUGUCAUUCAUUUACUCUGUCACCGUCACACGCGUGGAUGAAAAUACUUCCCAGGUAUCCAUCACACUUCAACCUCGUCCAAAAUGCAGAGCCGAACACACUUGUUCUUCCACCUUCCCAAGUGAAUGGAUGGCUUGCUUUUGUAAAAAAAGAAUUAAAGCUAAACAUAUGUA
Molecule: long non-coding RNA, 1860 nt
Organism: Phyllostomus hastatus (greater spear-nosed bat)
Lineage: Eukaryota; Metazoa; Chordata; Mammalia; Chiroptera; Phyllostomidae
Exons: 3
Source: RefSeq, a predicted model, not a curated record